UUGCUUGCUGAAACGAUCACUUUUGGCUGGUGUUGGAUUCCCAGUCUCCAUGUUAUAGGGGCAGGAGAAAUAAAGGGUUGUUUUCCUUGUUGUGUGAAUCGAGGGCAGCACAACUGUGCUUGGCAGACCCCGAUUGAGGGACUCACGCUCAAUUCAAUAGCACAUGCUAGGCAGGGGACAGGGGUUCCAAAGCCAAGUGGGCUGGGGUCUGGGUCCCAAUACUAAACUUCAGGGGUUGGAUCAAUGUUAGGACAGGGUGGCAGUGAAGGGAUGAGUGAGUCCCUAGACAACACAAUGAGUACAGUGCCUUCUUAUUUUCCCCCUUUUCCAUCCAGGAUGGCAGAUGAACUGUACAGAGGCACCUCUGGGCUUGCACUGACUAAGGACAACAGCUAAAUGUGUUAUGAGGUUGGGAAAUGCCCCCACCAGCCUUUCAGGUGCGACAAGGGAGGAGCCAGACUCACUGCUGUCCCAUUGAGGGUAUCCACACUCCCAAGAACUAUCCCAGGAACCGUGUACAAUGCAGGCUUCUCCGAGAUAGCACAGAGACAAUGGACACUGCUUGACUCAUAUCAUAGCAAAGGAGCUUCCUAGCAAGUUGGAACAAACUAUGAAAGAGGGGAAGAGACAUCAUGACUUUGCCUCUCUCCUCCAAAACUCAGCAGCUGGAAACACGCCUGGAGGACAAAGACUGAACUGAACUGGUUCAGAAAUCAGAAGAGAAUAAUAACAAUAAUACUUUCAAACCAAAGUCCCCAAACAGACUAGUAUUGAUUUUUCAGCAGAAAAUUUUCAGUUUGGGGAAUUUUGUUUUCCCAGCCAGACUUUGCCAAGGGAAGCAGGGAGAAAAUGUUGGAGUUGCCUCCCUCAGAACAGCUUGGCCUAGACACUAGCUCUGCUUCACUGCUCUGGCCUUGCUCACGUUGAGGGUAUUUUAACAAUUUGGGCAGGUCCCAGGGUGUUUGGGGGAGAUGAGGAGGAUGUUACCUUUAGAGACAAAAACUAAGAAAUACAGGACUAGAGAAUUUUUUU
Non-coding RNA from Chelonoidis abingdonii (Abingdon island giant tortoise), 1032 nucleotides. The record is from RefSeq and is a predicted model, not a curated record. Lineage: Eukaryota; Metazoa; Chordata; Testudines; Testudinidae.